Molecule: ribosomal RNA, 153 nt
Filed under: uncultured bacterium
Lineage: Bacteria
Description: partial 16S ribosomal RNA
Rfam family: Bacterial small subunit ribosomal RNA
Source: RNAcentral
CCUACGGGAGGCAGCAGUGGGGAAUAUUGGACAAUGGGCGCAAGCCUGAUCCAGCCAUGCCGCGUGUGUGAAGAAGGCCUUCGGGUUGUAAAGCACUUUCAGCGGGGAGGAAACGCCAUGGGUUAAUACCCUGUGGCUAUGACGUACCGCAGA